Molecule: unclassified non-coding RNA, 21 nt
Filed under: Chlamydomonas reinhardtii
Lineage: Eukaryota; Viridiplantae; Chlorophyta; Chlorophyceae; Chlamydomonadales; Chlamydomonadaceae
Description: small RNA Cre_2846
Source: RNAcentral
UGAAGCUAGCGCUGCUGCUGC